AAUCGGCGUAGCGCUGCCUCCCUCCCUCCAGCCCCGUCCCACCCCACCGCCAAAAGAAUAGGCACAACGCCUCACAUUCCUCUAGUACCGUCACUGCAUGCUCCCCUCACACUUCUCUCUCUAAAAAUCGAAAUAAGAAAACGCAUCCACUCCACCAAAACGAACCAAAUCUUUCUCAUUCAAUGGCAGUUGUAGCAAGGCAUCUCAAUCUCUUCCCACCUCAAUUCAUCCUUUUCUUCCAAGUCAGAGAAUUGAUGAAUGUAAUUACUCAGGGAAACGAUGCCUACAACACGCGGCAGAUGCGGUUCCUCGGGGCCUCCCUCCCUCCAGAGCCACACCACCCCAUCGCCAAAAGAAUCGGCACAGCGCCGUAUAGUUGAAGUUGUGUUUUCUUCAAUUUAAUUUGAGGAGUAAAUUUGUGAGAAAAUUUUCAAACCAUAUCUACAAAUGUAAAAUAAAAUAUUAGCCGAGUUAGAUGUGUUUCAUCUGUCAAAA
This is a long non-coding RNA of Salvia miltiorrhiza (redroot sage), 495 nucleotides long. RefSeq lists it as uncharacterized. The transcript has 2 exons. The record is from RefSeq and is a predicted model, not a curated record. NCBI's taxonomy places the organism in Eukaryota, Viridiplantae, Streptophyta, Magnoliopsida, Lamiales, Lamiaceae.